AAUCGACACUACACACCUGAAGGAAAAGCACACACAAGCAAUGAACGUACUACGCUUGCAGAGAUGGGUCGCCGGUCGUCGGUCGGUGAGCUCAAGGCCACGAUCGACGACCCAUGAACCAACAAAGGACACAAGCAGCUGGCCCGUUCGGAUAUGCAUGGAUUCUUCUGUGCAAGUGCUCUCUAUAUCUGGCCGUCGUAACACAUGCUUGCAAAUGCAAUGCAUGCUGCUCCGGCAUGGCCGCCGUGGCUCCCCACCGUUGGCCAGAUCGAUCGAUCGAUCGAGACUAGCUGAUUAGCCGUGACUACAUACAUGCACAUGGCCGGGCACGGCGAGGGCGACGGGCGAUGGCCAAUAAUAAGCUAUAGCUCUAGCGCGCGCGAAGCAUGCAUGCAACGCGACGCGGGGCGGGUGGCCGGCCGGCCGGCGUUAUGGUGGCUUGUCACGACGCCGGUUUUGGCUCGCCCGGCGGCCAGCGCGCACCCCUUACUGACGAGCGUUUUCGGCCGCGCAUGUGCAUGUCCUUCAGACACCACCCACCCUAUACUAUACUGUACUACUACGACCCCUGCAGUGCCGCUGCUCUGCUGGUCAAAACAGAAACUUCCCUGCAAGUUCCUGCAUGCGCUCCCAAUUGUGUGGAUAGCUAGGCUGUCCGUCAGCCGGGGUCAUGUGACUAUAUGUGAGGUGAUUCUUUCACUGAUUCACUGUUUCACUUUCACUUGCAUUGGCAUGCAUGUGCAUGCAUGACUGAUUCAGAUAGAUUAUAUUCAGGUGCUUACAGAUAGAGAUGUUUACUGAUAUAGCAGUGCACCUGAAUGAACACAGAAAGCAAUUUGGUGUCGAAUUUCUCCAGCAUUUAAUUUCGUGUGGCUCGGAUGCAGAAACAAGUUGGGAUCAUAUGCACAUCAGUGCGUGCCAUUGGUUCGUACGUUCACGUACCCUUGUCGAAAUCCAGAUCACGCGCCAUAGGCUGGCGAAAAUUCAAGGAGGCCUUUGUGUCAAAAAAAAAAUUCAAGGAGGCCGCGACCAAAUGGCCACAAAAUGAAGGGCCUGAACAUGCCACAUCGCACGCGCCGUACUCGGCGAGUCAAUUCCUAGACCGUCAUAGUGUUAGAAUAUAGUAGCUGAAAAUAGUGUGUGUUAGCGGUGCAUGUUAGUGUGUUGAAUAUGUUAGAAGCAUGACACAUGGCACAAUAUUCAGCAGUAUUGAAUAGACGCCAUACAUGCAUAGGCUAGAAGAGCUUGUAGAUUAAGUCAAGUCUUUAUUGUAAACGAUCUCCAUGUACAACCAUGAAGGGGGCUCUUCCCUUCACUAUAUAAACACGGAACCGGGAACCAGGAUGGUCAUCCCGUUACCUCCUAUUUCUAUAUGGUAUUCAGAGCCUAAAAAUCCUCACGGAUACAUCGAUCCUUAUGGCAACCUCCUCUGAAGCUGCCGCUUCCUUCUUUAGUUUUUUCCCACCAGUAACCAAGAAACUAACUCGUAGCAACUACAAUAUGUGGCUUGCUCAAGUCACAGCCACUCUGCAGGGCGCUCAGCUCUAGAGUUUCACCAAACCCACCACCAAACUCCCUCCUGAGUUUCUUGAGGUCGAUGCCGCCGCUGCUGCGGCGGCGGGCAACAAGGCGGAACCGGCCGUCAAUCCGGAAUAUGAGAAGUGGUUGGCCAAGGACAGCCAAGUCCGCAGCUACCUCUUCACAUCCCUCUCCGAGGACACCUUCUCCCAGGUCGCGGACGCGACCACGGCGGCCGAAUUGUGGGCCGCAAUCCAGACGCUCCAAGCGUCCCAGUCCCGCGCCCGGAUCAUGUCCACGCGGAUGGCGCUCGCCACGGCAACCAAGGAGUCGUCAACCGUGGCGGAAUUCUUCACCAAGAUGAAGGGCUUGGCCGACGAGAUGGCGUCGGCGGGCAAGAAGCUGGACGACGAUGAGGUCGUCUCCUAUUCAGAGCCUAAAAAUCCUCACGGAUACAUCGAUCCUCAUGGCAACCUCCUCUGAAGCUGCCGCUUCCUUCUUUAGUUUUCUCCCACCAGUAACCAAGAAACUAACUCGUAGCAACUACAACAUGUGGCUUGCUCAAGUCACAGCCACUCUGCAGGGCGCUCAGCUCUGGAGUUUCACCAAACCCACCACCAAACCCCCUCCUGAGUUUCUUGAGGUCGACACCGCCGCUGCUGCGGCGGCGGGCAACAAGGCGGAACCGGCCGUCAAUCCGGAAUAUGAGAAGUGGUUGGCCAAGGACAGCCAAGUCCACAGCUACCUCUUCACAUCCCUCUCCGAGGACACCUUCUCCCAGGUCGCGGACGCGACCACGGCGGCCGAAUUGUGGGCCGCAAUCCAGACGCUCCAAGCGUCCCAGUCCCGCGCCCGGAUCAUGUCCACGCGGAUGGCGCUCGCCACGGCAACCAAGGGGUCGUCAACCGUGGCGGAAUUCUUCACCAAGAUGAAGGGCUUGGCCGACGAGAUGGCGUCGGCGGGCAAGAAGCUGGACGACGAUGAGGUCGUCUCCUACAUCCUCAUGGGUGUUGGAGAGGAGUUCGAGUCGGUUACAUCUGCGGUUGCAAACCGUACCGACCCGAUUUCUCUCCCAGAGCUCCAGGCUCAGCUCGUGAGCCAUGAACAAUGCCGUGAGAUCCACGAUGGCGGCUCCCACUCCUCCGUCAACUCUGCAGAAAAGGGCGGCCGUCGUGGUGGUCGUCCUUCCUAUUCCCGUGGCGGCUGUGGUGGUGGUGGUCGCGGCGGCUUCGGGCAUGGCCGCAACAGCGGUCGGAAUGGUGGUCGUGGUGGUGGCCACAACAACAACAACAACUUCACCAACAACACCUUUCUCGAAGGUGUGAUCUGCCAGAUUUGUGGCAGGGAAGGCCAUGGUGCGGAUCGCUGCUACAAGUAUGUCGGCUACCCACCAAAGAAGAGUGCAUCCGCAGCAACAACCUCCUACGGCGUGGACACUAACUGGUACAUGGACACUGGUGCCACGGACCACAUCACUAGCGAGCUAGAUCAACUUACAAUCCGCGAUCGCUACAACGGCAACGACCAUGUACACACCGCUAGCGGAUCAGGUAUGAAGAUCAAUCACAUUGGUCACAGUACUUUGAGUUUCCCUAAUAGCAACCUUCGUCUACGUAACAUACUUCAUGUCCCAGAAGCAAAUAAGAAUCUUGUCUUUGUCAAUCGCAUUACUCGUGAUAAUAAUGUGUUUCUUGAGUUUCACCCUGAUCAUUUUUUGGUCAAGGAGCAGGGAACAAAGAAAACCCUACUCCAAGGCAGAUGUGAGCGUGGCCUCUACCCACUCCAUUCAUCCAAUAAAGAAGUGCUUGCCACCAUCAAACCAUCCACCUCGCUAUGACAUCAUCGACUUGGUCAUGCAUCCACUCCAGUAGUUCAGCGUGUCCUCAACCACCAUAAGCUCCCUUUUGUUCAAGAUUCCAGUCAACAUAGUAUUUGUGAUGCGUGUCAACAAGGAAAAAGCCACCAGCUGCCCUACCCUAGGUCAACUAGUGUGUCAAAACACCCUUUUGAUCUUGUUUUUUCUGAUGUAUGGGGCCCCGCUCCCAAAUCUGUCGGUCAGAAUAAAUAUUAGUUAAGUUUCAUUGAUGAUUAUAGUAAACAUACUUGGAUCUAUUUACUUCGUCAAAAAUCUGAGGUGUUUCGAUGCUUUCUUGAUUUUCAGCAACUUGUUGAGCGUCAAUUCGAUUGCAAAAUCCGUGCUAUGCAAACAGACUGGGUGGUGAAUAUCAAACUCUUAGCUCCUUCUUUAAACGUGUAGGGAUAUUAUAACACUCCAAAAUUUUUAAUUUUGGAUUGUUAUUAGAAAACACUAAAUUAAAUAAGAAUUUAAAUUUUUCUAAAAUAUUCCAAGAUUUAUUUAGUUAUUGAAUUCAAAAAGAGAGAAAAUUGUGUAAUUUUUAAAACUUUUAUAAAAUUAAGUGAAGGGUGUUAUGUUUGCGGUUGUGUGCUUUUGUGCCCUCGCUUUGUUUAGCUUGUGUGUGAAAAAUGAAUUUCAAAAUUGCUAGCGAGAAUUUUUAGGUCCUUUUGGUUUCUGAAAAAAAAUAAUAUAUAAAACACUAAAAGUCCUAUUCGAAAACUAAAUUUGUUUUGAGUCGAAAAUGAUUUAAAAAUAUGAUCUUAGGAAAAUGUGCUUUGUUUUCAAAAGUAUUAAAGAAAACAAGCUCCUAAAUAACCUCAAAUUAGGAAUUCAAACAGGGUGUUGAAAUAGGUUUAGUAAAAUAGUUUAGAAAUCAAUCUUUAUAAAAAGAAAAGCGUUUAUUUUUUUUCUCCAACGUGGGCCGACCACCCCUCCCUCGGCCCACCUUCCCACUCCCCCCUCUCUCCCAUACGCCAGCGGCCCACCCCGCCAGGCCGCGGCCCAGCGCCCCGCCUCGGCCCGCUAGCAGCGUGCACCCGCUGCCACGCGGGGCCCACUUGUCGGUCGCUCCAAGCGGCUGACGCUGCGGACCCACGCGUCAGCCGCGUCUCCCUCCUCUCGCCGCACAUCUCGGACACCGCUGCCGCCGUCGAUUCGAGCCUGUGCGCGCUCCUCGAGGUUCCCCGCGGCCUAUAAAGGCCCUGCACUAGGCUCCGCGCCCCCUGGAACCCUAGCGAAGCCCCGCCGCCACGCUAGCCCUAGCCGCGAGCCGCUACCACCGCCGCCGUCGAGCGAAGGUCCCCUCCACCGUCGAUCUCCGCCUCCUCUACAUCUCCGUCGACACGAACACCUGCCCGAGCUUCUCCAUCGCGCAAGGAACUCAGUGGUGCCCCUGGUUCGCCUCCUCCCCCUUCUCUUUGCCCCGCGCGCGCUCACCGAAGCGAGCCACCGCCGCCGAAUCGCUCCGCCGCGUGCGCAGCCGCCUCCGGCCUGCGUCGGUGGACGUGGACCCCUGCAUCGGGUUCGCGACGUCGAGCCGCACCCGCCCAUGUCCUCGCUUCGACCAGUCGUGCGCCGUAGCCCCUGCACCGCCCAACUCCGGCGAGCCUCCACCGCGCGCCACCGCGGGGAGCGCCGCUCCGGCGACCUCCUCCCUCUGGAGUCGCCAGAUCCGUCCAAUCCGCGAUCAUCGGCCCACAUUAGAUCCGGGCACCGGUCAAAUGAGACGGUCAACGUGGCCGACGUGGCAGCCCCGUCAGCGCCACGCAAGCGCCACGUCAGCGCCACGUGGUGCCACGCAAGCGAAGACUGGGUCAACCAGUCAAGAAGCGGUCAGCCCUGGCCGUUUUGCAAAGCGCCCCCUGCAGUUUUUGGUAAUAAACCCGCAGUCCACUGCAGUUCAAAACUAAUUAGAUCUAGGUCCUGUUUUUUUCAGUUUAACCCCUGGCGCCACUGGUAUUUGUAUAUUUAAUCCAAAUUGCGUUUUUAAUUCUGUUUUAAUUAUUUAAAAUACAAAAAUUAGUUCUGUGUAAUCACGGUUUUGCCACUGACCUAGUUUUGGCCAUAAAAUCCACGUUUUAACUCCGAUUGAGGCCGUUCUUGUCGCGUUAGUUUCGUAUCGUCGUAAGCUACGCUUUAGCAGUAAUAGUUACCUCGUUUGACCAUUUAGGUUUUCACCAUAAAUACAAAAUGAUUAAUGACUAACUAAAUGCCCGUUUAAUCUACAAAAGCAAUUUGUUUAUAACUUUAGUUCUCGUAAAUAAAUAUUAAUGUUAUUAAUACCAACAUAAAUACCUUUUUAAUUGUGAUCUAGUUAAUCUGAUCUCAUAUCAUAAAUGCCUUGUUUAACUUAUAACACAAAUUCCUUGUUUUCUAAUUAUAAAUAGUAAAGUGACUUAAAUGAUGUAGAAUGGUUCGUAAUUUGGUUAUGACUAAAGUUUAACUCCAACUUUUAUAAUUCUUUUAUAAUUUGGUCAACUCAACUUUCAGAUAUUUCUUUGAAUAAUCCAUCACCUGUUUUCUUAAAAUACGAUCAACGUAUAGUCGUCUUUUCCGUUUCGCUUCGAACCUCGAAAGUCGUGUCCGUUUAACGAUAGCUCCGUUCUCAAUCGUUCUUGCGUUGUCACGAUCGUAGCAAUAAGUCGUGUCGUUUAGUGCGCUCUUUCUAAGCUUUUCUUUUGAUUGAUGCUUGUUCUUAGUCAUGAUUGUUUGUUUGUCUGUUUGUGUUGCUUGGUUGCUACGAGUAGAAGAAGUGUGGUUCAUCAAUAGUGAAGACCAGGAGCUGAGGACCGACAGUCGAAGCAGAAGUUGGAGAUCACAAGAAGGAAGUCAAAGAUUUCUGAGCAGUUAAACACUGGAAAUUAAGGCAAGUGCAGACACCCUUUGAUCAUAUUGUACCUAUGAACUUUAAAUACAUUUACUUUCCAUUGCAUGUAUCUUAAUACUGCAAACCCUAAGGACAUGACUAGUCUUCUACUAUAUUCCUUGUAUACCUGGGUUUAUACAUGGGUAGUAUAGUGAACAGUAGAUAUGCUUAGUUGCUCUACUCAUCUAAUCUAUAUAAUAAUAAAAAUAAUGAUCUUGCUUAAUAAAUUCUUCAAUGAUGAUAAAUGAUUAAAUGAUGAACAAUGGUCACUUCGGUGAUGGAGAUGUUGCGGUGCUUGCGAGCAUCGUGGUUUGGUUGAGGACAGGGGGAGCGGGUACCGUUGGUGGUCCGGUUUGCCGGGCGUACCCGUCUCUGCUCUCCGUAAGGACUUAGUCAGGGAGCGGCCCCCUGGGACUUACAGUGCAGCUCCAAGCUAUAUGGGCUCUGGCUUGACUAAUUAGCAGGACCUCCACUGGUAGGGUGUUACUUUCCGGGUAGGCGUAAGGAAUGUAGCUUGGGUAUUCAUAUUAAGAGGUCGGUCAGUUCGGGGUCCCAUUGCUAUGGGCACGACUGCCGCGCGCCCCGGCAAAAACUUACGAGUGGCAUCCUAUUAGUUGGACCCUGUGAAAGGUCUCGUAGUGAGACCCUGCCUGCUCACCUUGGCAGUGUUUUGGGGAGUCAUGACCCCGGGCAAAUGGGAAUCACGACUUGGAGUGAACGUGCACACCUCUGCAGAGUGUAAAACUGAUAUAUCAGCCGUGCUCACGGUCACGAGCGGCCCAGACCCUCACUUGAUGAGCAAAUUGGAUUCACUGGAUACUUGGAGGCGAAAUUUGGUUGAGGUUGCUACCUCGUGCUUUGGCGGAAUGGCUAUUCCGUGUUGGCAGGAUUGCUAUCCUGUGUUCUAAAUUGGGAUUGCUAUCCCAUGACCUUAAUGGGGUUGCUACCCCGAGUUACUAUCUGAGGUUGCUACCUCGGUAAUAAUUAUAAUGAUGAUUCAUAAAAUUGUUAAUAUACUUUCAUCUAAUUAAGGGUUGGGAUGCUUUACCCAUAUUUAGUAAUAGGUUGUUUUAAUAAUAGAGUUGUAAUAAAAGUUUACCAACUUAAAAGCUCACCUGCAGUUAAACAGUGUCAGCUUUUCCUUUGAUCAAGCCUUGCAUGUCAUUAUACUUUCCGCCUGUACUUGUUGAGUUCGACAUGAACUCACCCUUGCUAUUUCCCCCACACCCCAGUGUGUAGUAAAGUGCUGCUCAGAAGAAGGGUAUAGAUGCUAUGGAGUUUUCUAGAGGCUUAUCAGAAGUGCUUGGCGUACGGAGCCCCCAGUCAGCCGUCCCUGAGAAGAUUGGAGCCUAAGAAGUUUAGCUACUGUUUCCGCGUACUCUGAUGUUUUGUAAGUGUUAUUAUAAAUAUGUUUUCCGCUAUAUAUAACAUUGUUUUUGAUAUUUCUAUUCUUUGUUGUAUGUGUGGACUUCCUGGGCACACAUAUGACGACUCUGGUCUUAUUUUAAAAGCCAGGGUGUGACAGGAAUGGUAUCAGAGCAAUGUUGACUGUAGGACGUAUGCCUAGAUAGCACUGGUCGAUUUCUAAAGCUUAUUUUGCUAUAAAACUAUUUUCUCAUCCCUUGUCUCUUUGACUCUGACUAUUUUCUCAACCUUGUCAUGUUGUAUCCCCUCCUUGAAUAACUUCCUUUGAGCUAUUUCUAUUAAUCUCCUUGGCUUUUGUUUAGUUGUUUUACUUAAGUCUUCAAAACUUAUUUUAUUCCAAAAUUUGAUGGCUCUUCAUCAUCUCGAACUUACCUUUUUAGGAUGACCACCACUGUUGAAGAAGCACGUGUAGUAUCGUUGAUGUGAUGUGUGCUUGUUUUGCUUGGUUUGUUGUUUGUGUGUUGUCUUUGUUCUAGUGUUUUGAUGGAGUUCUGGAAGAAGACGUUUAGAGAUUAGCUCAAUCUCUGUUAAGUGGGGUAGUGAUCUCUCUUAUCCUAUCCAUCUAUUGUCAAUCUUGAUCCUCUCCACCUAUUUUUUUUCUCUCACUUCAUGCUCUUUGUCCAUAUUACUCUAGCUCAUUCUACUAUUGCCUAAUGUCAGAUGAUUGAUCCAAGUGGUGACAUCAAUGGAAAAGAAUAUUGGUGAUCCGAGUCAACCAAUGACUUCUGCAACACAAUUGAGCAGUGAAGAGAUGAUAACUUGGCAAUCCCAAAUCCUAGAGAUGGCAGCUGAUCAUAUGGCUAGACUCCAGAAGCUUUUGACACUACAAUCUUUACUUCUCCAAGGCGACAUUGAAGAAGCUUACACCAAAUGUCAGGAAGACCCAACUAUGCUACCCUUGUCCCUAGUAAACAACGAGAAGCCCUUGUUUACACAAGAUCAAGUACUAAGUGGAGUGGAACCACAUAAAGUUUAUCAGCUAUAUUCAGAGAAGAACAUGACCGAAACUCAGGAAGAAGCAAUGAAGCGACAAGUCGUAGAAGCCUGGAAGAACAUGAAAGCUAAGAAAGAUGGUAUUAAUGAGGCACUUGGGGUUCAAGAGCCGUGUAAUUGCUGCAGAUAUUAUGGUUUACCGUGCCUUCAGAAAAAGUCAAGCGAAGGAAAGGUAGAAGUACCCCAGGAUCAACAAACUGAAGGUAACAAGAAAAGGAAGGCAAUCUCCCUAGAGCCACUAUUAAGUGUUGAGCCAAAUCUAAGUUCUACAUGGCAGUUAGAUUUAGCUCCAAACUCUCAUCAGACACAUUCAUACCUUGAAGAAUUAGAUGCCCCUUCAGCUACACUUGCUAUGCCAGAGAUAUGCCUAGAUGGAUGGACCAUCACCUAUACAGAAUAUCAGCCUCGAAAGAGUAAUCAAGCUAAGAAGCGAAAUAGUGAAGAGACUCCAUUGAAGGUAAACCCUCAGAACCAACAAGUUAGUAGCACUUCAGUUACUCCUGGCACAUCAAUUCAAGGAGCUCAAUGUCAGGAUAACACCUAUGGUAAAAUGGUUAGCAAUGCUUGUUACCAGUGUCACGAAGAGGGACAUCACAAGAAACAUUGUCCAAAGAAGUACCCAGUUCGUGACUAUGUUAAUGGUAGAUUGAACCAUGUGGAUCUGUGUACUGCUCGUGAAGCACAAAAUGUGGUGUUUGGAUCAAUUCUAGUCAAUUCAACUCCUGCCACUGUUUUGUUUGACUCAAGUUCUUCACAUUCUUUCAUCUCAAACAAAUGUGUUGCCGAUCAUAAGUUGCUUAAGUUGGAAAUGAAGAAACCCAUACUGGUCAAAUCACCAAGAGGAAAGAUAAGAGCAACCUACAUGUGCCCAAAAGUCAGUCUUGACAUAAAAGGUGCAAAUUUUGAGGUGAAUCUUAUAGUUUUGGAAUCAAUGGAGAUUGAUAUCGUUCUUGGAAGAGGGUGGUUAACUGCUUGUCAUGGAGAGAUUGAUUGUACCCGACACUCAGUAUCCCUAACCACCCCAUCAGGAGACAGGUUCGUGUAUGAAGGCACUCAACCUCACCCGAAGGAUUAAAGGACUAAUGGAAGGAUUGUACCGACAACGAGGUAGUUCAAAAGGAAUGUGGACCUUAUAGAGAGGCAAUAUUUACUCAACAUCAGAUGUGGAGUAGAUUGUAUUAGGACACACAGAUAGAUUUGAAUCAGUCAAGGAAAUAUGUAACACUUAUGAAGUCAGCGAUGGCUUUUAGCUUAUAAUGAUUUUGUCUUCAGGUCGCUAGUAAUCUUCCUUGUAAAAUGAGAUGUCUUGUUCAUUGGACUUUAUCAUUCUUAAUCUCCUAAUAUGAGUUAUGAGUUGGUUGUCAAGAUGUUUAGUCUAUUUGUGGUAACCAUGGAAUCUUGGGCGAAGCACCUAGUGCUGUCCCAACAUCGAGUGGUAGUGCUUACCCGUGAAGUGAUCUUAAACAUUCCAUGCAGAACGAGUUGACAACCUUUGUGCAGUUCUCUCUGCAAUAUUUCCCCAACACUGCAAGUGGUAUGAGAAAUUUACUUAGGAUCCAUCUAUGGAGACCAUAGAGAAGCAUUAGAGAAGCAUCAAGUGUCCUAGGAAGAGUGGUGCUUGUUGACCUGUCAAAGCAAGGCAUAGGAAACCAGUCCCAAGAUAAGAUGUAUUAUUUUACUUUGGAAUAUUUGAUGGAUUAUCACGUGACAAAAUGUAGAACCCGAAGAUCAAAUGAAAACCAUACCGAUAUAUGGUCAAUCUUAAUAGACCCCUUGGGUUGCUUUUCUAGAUAGUGUUCAAGAACCUUCUCCUAGAUAACCUUACCGACUUUUGGCUUCAGUCUUGCACCUUUUCUGAGAUAACUGAGAUUAUCUCACUCUAUCUUUUCCCACCAUUGUGUUGUUUGUCACCCUGUUUCUCCGAAAUCCCCAGAUGUGCAGUGUGUUGUCAAACUGAUAACCCCUGACGAAAAAAAAAUUGAAGACUAUAUUGACAGGAUUUUGGAAGAUAAGCUAACACUUGGUUUAAGUGGGGUAGCGUCUGCUACGAUCAUCACUCUCGAAAAUCUUUAAUCAUAAAGACAUGGAGAACUAUAUAUUGAUCAUUAUCAUUCUCGCAAUGAACCCUUAUCAAUUUUUCUAUCAUGUGAUCUUUGAUCCUACGUCUCAUAGGACUACAAAAUAUUAAGCGUGAAGACUGGAAAAUAAAUUUAAGUCUCCCUCGUCAACUUUUGCUAAUUCUUUAUCCUUUCAUCUACUAUCUUAUACAUAUCCAGAAUCGAGGAAAUUGUGAGUACUAUAGUAUCUAUCUUUGUCUCCUAUGUGUUAUCUCCUGUUAACCUUGGCUUUUUGCCCUUGCAAUUUAUCGUAAUACAGGAUCCAAAGAUCAAUUUCUAUCUCAUAUGUUUAUCUUUCUUUGUCUUCAAAUCUGUAGCAUACUCUAUACCCUUUAUGUCUAUCUUUAAUCCUUUGAUCACAUCUUGAAAGUCUCGAAACAACUUCGAUGAUCUACUUUAUCUUUCUCUCUAGUUUCUUCAAAUCUCGGGACGAGAUUUAUGUUAAGUGGGGUAGAUCUAUAACACUCCAAAAUUUUUAAUUUUGGAUUGUUAUUAGAAAAUACUAAAUUAAAUAAGAAUUUAAAUUUUUCUAAAAUAUUCCAAGAUUUAUUUAGUUAUUGAAUUCAAAAAGAGAGAAAAUUGUGUAAUUUUUAAAACUUUUAUAAAAUUAAGUGAAGGGUGUUAUGUUUGCUGUUGUGUGCUUUUGUGCCCUAGCUUUGUUUAGCUUGUGUGUGAAAAAUGAAUUUCAAAAUUGCUAGCGAGAAUUUUUAGGUCCUUUUGGUUUCUGAAAAAAAAUAAUAUAUAAAACACUAAAAGUCCUAUUCGAAAACUAAAUUUGUUUUGAGUCGAAAAUGAUUUAAAAAUAUGAUCUUAGGAAAAUGUGCUUUGUUUUCAAAAGUAUUAAAGAAAACAAGCUCCUAAAUAACCUCAAAUUAGGAAUUCAAACAGGGUGUUGAAAUAGGUUUAGUAAAAUAGUUUAGAAAUCAAUCUUUAUAAAAAGAAAAGCGUUUAUUUUUUUUCUCCAACGUGGGCCGACCACCCCUCCCUCGGCCCACCUUCCCACUCCCCCCUCUCUCCCAUACGCCAGCGGCCCACCCCGCCAGGCCGCGGCCCAGCGCCCCGCCUCGGCCCGCUAGCAGCGUGCACCCGCUGCCACGCGGGGCCCACUUGUCGGUCGCUCCAAGCGGCUGACGCUGCGGACCCACGCGUCAGCCGCGUCUCCCUCCUCUCGCCGCACAUCUCGGACACCGCUGCCGCCGUCGAUUCGAGCCUGUGCGCGCUCCUCGAGGUUCCCCGCGGCCUAUAAAGGCCCUGCACUAGGCUCCGCGCCCCCUGGAACCCUAGCGAAGCCCCGCCGCCACGCUAGCCCUAGCCGCGAGCCGCUACCACCGCCGCCGUCGAGCGAAGGUCCCCUCCACCGUCGAUCUCCGCCUCCUCUACAUCUCCGUCGACACGAACACCUGCCCGAGCUUCUCCAUCGCGCAAGGAACUCAGUGGUGCCCCUGGUUCGCCUCCUCCCCCUUCUCUUUGCCCCGCGCGCGCUCACCGAAGCGAGCCACCGCCGCCGAAUCGCUCCGCCGCGUGCGCAGCCGCCUCCGGCCUGCGUCGGUGGACGUGGACCCCUGCAUCGGGUUCGCGACGUCGAGCCGCACCCGCCCAUGUCCUCGCUUCGACCAGUCGUGCGCCGUAGCCCCUGCACCGCCCAACUCCGGCGAGCCUCCACCGCGCGCCACCGCGGGGAGCGCCGCUCCGGCGACCUCCUCCCUCUGGAGUCGCCAGAUCCGUCCAAUCCGCGAUCAUCGGCCCACAUUAGAUCCGGGCACCGGUCAAAUGAGACGGUCAACGUGGCCGACGUGGCAGCCCCGUCAGCGCCACGCAAGCGCCACGUCAGCGCCACGUGGUGCCACGCAAGCGAAGACUGGGUCAACCAGUCAAGAAGCGGUCAGCCCUGGCCGUUUUGCAAAGCGCCCCCUGCAGUUUUUGGUAAUAAACCCGCAGUCCACUGCAGUUCAAAACUAAUUAGAUCUAGGUCCUGUUUUUUUCAGUUUAACCCCUGGCGCCACUGGUAUUUGUAUAUUUAAUCCAAAUUGCGUUUUUAAUUCUGUUUUAAUUAUUUAAAAUACAAAAAUUAGUUCUGUGUAAUCACGGUUUUGCCACUGACCUAGUUUUGGCCAUAAAAUCCACGUUUUAACUCCGAUUGAGGCCGUUCUUGUCGCGUUAGUUUCGUAUCGUCGUAAGCUACGCUUUAGCAGUAAUAGUUACCUCGUUUGACCAUUUAGGUUUUCACCAUAAAUACAAAAUGAUUAAUGACUAACUAAAUGCCCGUUUAAUCUACAAAAGCAAUUUGUUUAUAACUUUAGUUCUCGUAAAUAAAUAUUAAUGUUAUUAAUACCAACAUAAAUACCUUUUUAAUUGUGAUCUAGUUAAUCUGAUCUCAUAUCAUAAAUGCCUUGUUUAACUUAUAACACAAAUUCCUUGUUUUCUAAUUAUAAAUAGUAAAGUGACUUAAAUGAUGUAGAAUGGUUCGUAAUUUGGUUAUGACUAAAGUUUAACUCCAACUUUUAUAAUUCUUUUAUAAUUUGGUCAACUCAACUUUCAGAUAUUUCUUUGAAUAAUCCAUCACCUGUUUUCUUAAAAUACGAUCAACGUAUAGUCGUCUUUUCCGUUUCGCUUCGAACCUCGAAAGUCGUGUCCGUUUAACGAUAGCUCCGUUCUCAAUCGUUCUUGCGUUGUCACGAUCGUAGCAAUAAGUCGUGUCGUUUAGUGCGCUCUUUCUAAGCUUUUCUUUUGAUUGAUGCUUGUUCUUAGUCAUGAUUGUUUGUUUGUCUGUUUGUGUUGCUUGGUUGCUACGAGUAGAAGAAGCGUGGUUCAUCAAUAGUGAAGACCAGGAGCUGAGGACCGACAGUCGAAGCAGAAGUUGGAGAUCACAAGAAGGAAGUCAAAGAUUUCUGAGCAGUUAAACACUGGAAAUUAAGGCAAGUGCAGACACCCUUUGAUCAUAUUGUACCUAUGAACUUUAAAUACAUUUACUUUCCAUUGCAUGUAUCUUAAUACUGCAAACCCUAAGGACAUGACUAGUCUUCUACUAUAUUCCUUAUAUACCUGGGUUUAUACAUGGGUAGUAUAGUGAACAGUAGAUAUGCUUAGUUGCUCUACUCAUCUAAUCUAUAUAAUAAUAAAAAUAAUGAUCUUGCUUAAUAAAUUCUUCAAUGAUGAUAAAUGAUUAAAUGAUGAACAAUGGUCACUUCGGUGAUGGAGAUGUUGCGGUGCUUGCGAGCAUCGUGGUUUGGUUGAGGACAGGGGGAGCGGGUACCGUUGGUGGUCCGGUUUGCCGGGCGUACCCGUCUCUGCUCUCCGUAAGGACUUAGUCAGGGAGCGGCCCCCUGGGACUUACAGUGCAGCUCCAAGCUAUAUGGGCUCUGGCUUGACUAAUUAGCAGGACCUCCACUGGUAGGGUGUUACUUUCCGGGUAGGCGUAAGGAAUGUAGCUUGGGUAUUCAUAUUAAGAGGUCGGUCAGUUCGGGGUCCCAUUGCUAUGGGCACGACUGCCGCGCGCCCCGGCAAAAACUUACGAGUGGCAUCCUAUUAGUUGGACCCUGUGAAAGGUCUCGUAGUGAGACCCUGCCUGCUCACCUUGGCAGUGUUUUGGGGAGUCAUGACCCCGGGCAAAUGGGAAUCACGACUUGGAGUGAACGUGCACACCUCUGCAGAGUGUAAAACUGAUAUAUCAGCCGUGCUCACGGUCACGAGCGGCCCAGACCCUCACUUGAUGAGCAAAUUGGAUUCACUGGAUACUUGGAGGCGAAAUUUGGUUGAGGUUGCUACCUCGUGCUUUGGCGGAAUGGCUAUUCCGUGUUGGCAGGAUUGCUAUCCUGUGUUCUAAAUUGGGAUUGCUAUCCCAUGACCUUAAUGGGGUUGCUACCCCGAGUUACUAUCUGAGGUUGCUACCUCGGUAAUAAUUAUAAUGAUGAUUCAUAAAAUUGUUAAUAUACUUUCAUCUAAUUAAGGGUUGGGAUGCUUUACCCAUAUUUAGUAAUAGGUUGUUUUAAUAAUAGAGUUGUAAUAAAAGUUUACCAACUUAAAAGCUCACCUGCAGUUAAACAGUGUCAGCUUUUCCUUUGAUCAAGCCUUGCAUGUCAUUAUACUUUCCGCCUGUACUUGUUGAGUUCGACAUGAACUCACCCUUGCUAUUUCCCCCACACCCCAGUGUGUAGUAAAGUGCUGCUCAGAAGAAGGGUAUAGAUGCUAUGGAGUUUUCUAGAGGCUUAUCAGAAGUGCUUGGCGUACGGAGCCCCCAGUCAGCCGUCUCUGAGAAGAUUGGAGCCUAAGAAGUUUAGCUACUGUUUCCGCGUACUCUGAUAUUUUGUAAGUGUUAUUAUAAAUAUGUUUUCCGCUAUAUAUAACAUUGUUUUUGAUAUUUCUAUUCUUUGUUGUAUGUGUGGACUUCCUGGGCACACAUAUGACGACUCUGGUCUUAUUUUAAAAGCCAGGGUGUGACAGAUAUCCCAUCACAUUUCAUGUCCUCACGCACAUCAACAAAAUGGUGCCGCCGAACGCAAACAUCGACACAUUGUCGAGGUCGGCCUCACUCUUUUAGCCCAUGCUUCUAUGCCUCUUAAAUUUUGGGAUGAGGCAUUCAUCACAGCUGUCUUUCUUAUUAAUCGACUACCCACCAAAGUCAUAGACCACGACACACCUCAUGAACGUCUUCAUGGACAAGCUCCUGACUAUAUGUUUCUUCGCACCUUUGGAUGUGCAUGUUGGCCCAACCUUCGACCUUUUAAUCCUCGAAAGCUUGAGUUUCGAUCAAAAAAAUGUGUAUUUCUUGGUUACAGUAACCAUCAUAAAGGGUUCAAAUGUCUUGAGCCCACUACUGGUCGCAUUUAUAUUUCCCGUGAUGUGGUGUUUGAUGAACAUCUAUUUCCAUUUUCCAAACUUCAUCCUAAUGCGGGUGCCCAACUCCGUGCAGAGCUUACCCUUCUACCUGAUAUCCUUCUCAUCCCGUUACCUCACUCAAGUACUUGAUCAGUGUGUGAGUUCUUCAUUACCUACUAACUCAUCAUCAAAUUCUACUGGAGAAUUGAUGACUGCAGGUGAAACAAGCACAUGCACAAAUGGGAUCGGCUUCCUCUCCGGAUCGCUGACGACCUCAGGCGCAGCUGCGAGUCUAUCAGGCCCUCCUCCAACCAAUGGAGAUGCGGCCUUGUCAGGGCCAACCGCUGACCCCGUCGCAUCCGAUCCAUCUUCGUCGCAGCAGCAUGCAGCUGCCCAACCAGAUUCGACCAUGGACUCUGGAACGCCUAUUUCUGGACUCGGUGGUGCUUCGUCGCAACAUCAUGCGGUCGCACAACAAAAUUUGGCCUCAGAGUUUGGAAUGCCUAUUCCUGGACUUGGUGCAGCUUCAUCGCAGCAGCAUGCGGCCGCACAACCAAAUUUGGCCGUGGAGUCUGGUGCGUCUAUUCCUGAACUUGGUGCGGCUCCUACAUGCACGUCUGCACCGACUCCCUCUAUUCCAGUACCACCUCGUCCUGCCACUCGUUCUCAGCAUGGAAUUGUGCAGCCUAAGCGCCGCACUGACGGCACGGUCCGCUAGUGUAACCUUGCCACGACGAAGAGCCAUCGUCUGUUGAUGAUGCCAUGCAAGAUAAACGUUGGUCUUUGGCUAUGGAUGAAGAACAUAGUGCUCUUCUCAAUAAUCACACUUGGCAUUUGGUCCCACCUCCACGUGGCAAGAAUGUCAUUGGAUGCAAAUGGGUGUACAAGAUCAAAAAGAGAGCUGAUGGUCAAGUUGAACGGUACAAGGCGCGUUUGGUGGCCAAAGGUUAUCGACAACGCUAUGGUCUUGACUAUGAGGACACUUUCAGUCCGGUUGUCAAAGCUGCAACAAUUCGCAUUGGUUUGGCUGUAGCUCUAUCCAGAGGAUGGUCUCUUCGCCAAUUGGAUGUCAAAAAUGCUUUUCUUCAUGGUGUCCUUCAAGAGGAAGUGUAUAUGCAUCAACCACCUGGCUAUGUUGACUCCAAGUAUCCAGGCGAUGUUUGCAAACUAGACAAAGCUAUUUAUGGCCUAAAGCAAGCUCCUCGAGCAUGGCAUGCUCGUCUUUGUGCAAAACUUGAGUCUCUUGGAUUUGUUCCUUCCAAGGCAGAUGCAUCACUCUUCUACUUCAACAAGGGACGGUACACUCUAUUUGUCCUUGUUUAUGUUGAUGAUAUUAUAGUAGCUAGUUCAUCUCCCGAUGCUACCAAGGCCUUGCUUGUUGAUCUGCAACAUGACUUUGCACUUAAAGACUUAGGUGACCUUCAUUAUUUCUUGGGCAUCGAAGUCAAGAGGGGAAACACUAGUAUGCUUCUCACCCAAGAGAGAUAUGCCACAGAGGUACUAAAACGAUCUGGUAUGGACAAGUGUCAUCCUGUUGAUACACCACUGUGCAGCUCAGAGAAACUAAGUAUAGAAGAUGGGAACAAACUUGGAUCUGAAGAUGCUACUAAGUACCGUAGUGUGGUAGGAGCAUUGCAAUAUUUAACCCUAACAAGACCAGAUAUAUCCUUCGCAGUAAACAAGGUAUGUCAGUUCUUACAUUCACCUACCACUAUACAUUGGAGCGUUGUUAAAAGGAUCCUGAGGUACAUCAAAGGGACCACCAAACUUGGCAUUAAGCUUAGCAAAUCUGAAUCCAUGUUAGUAAGUGCCUUCUCAGAUGCUGAUUGGGCCGGUUGUGUGGAUGACCGAAAUCUACUGGAGGUUUUGCUGUAUUUCUUGGCAACAACCUGAUUUCUUGGACUGCUAAAAAGCAACCAACAGUGUCAAGAUCAAGCACUGAAGCUGAAUAUAAAGCACUCGCCAAUGCAACUGCAGAAAUAAUAUGGGUCCAGAAGUUGUUGAAUGAACUUGGGGUUAGGCACCCACCUAGAGCACGACUAUGGUGUGAUAAUCUACGUGCAACCUACCUUUCUGCAAAUCCAAUUUUUCAUGCACGAACAAAGCAUAUCGAAAUAGACUUUCACUUUGUCAAAGAAAGGGUGGCACAAAAAUUACUAGAAGUCAGGUUUAUCUCAACUGGAGAUCAGUUAGCUGAUGGCUUCACCAAAGCAUUACCAGUAAUCAAAUUGAAGAAAUUUAGAGACAAUCUCAACCUCCAAAGUGGCUGAGAUUGAGGGAGGAUGUUAGAAUAUAGUAGCUGAAAAUAGUGUGUGUGUUAGCGGUGCAUGUUAGUGUGUUGAAUAUGUUAGAAGCAUGACACAUGGCACAAUAUUCAGCAGUAUUGAAUAGACGCCAUACAUGCAUAGGCUAGAAGAGCUUGUAGAUUAAGUCAAGUCUUUAUUGUAAACGAUCUCCAUGUACAGCCACGAAGGGGGCUUUUCUCUUCACUAUAUAAACACGGAACCGGGAACCAGGAUGGUCAUCCCGUUACCUCCUAUUUCUAUACAUAGUCCAAUCAAGCUGCAUUUCGGCUGCUGCUAUCAUAUAUAUUAUUGCCUGCCGGAAUACCUCACUAUCGCCUGCGUUUAGGUAGCUAGUGUAGCAUCCUACCUGACCAAUCGCGAGUUCAGAACAAAGACCCUGUGUGGGGAUAUAAAAAUUAGAAUGUUCACUGCAUCCUGUGUGUGUGCUUUUCGUUCACUGUAUGGUAUGGUCUUAUAAAUCAAUAAAAUUAGCCGGCACGUGCCUGUUGUCUGAGAAGGGCAAAGGGCAAGGUAAUGUAAUGUAACGGCACACGGGUCCAGCAUGAGCCGGCACAGUUGGUAGAAUAGAGGCACAUGGUUUUUGUGCGUCUCUGGUCUCAUGCACAAACCUGCUGUCUGAUGAACAGCGCGCUCAUAUCAUUGGCACGACACCAGCAGUUCAAAAGUACACCCAUAACAGUGUCCUCCCUGUGCUGGCUCCAUUUGCUAUUGCACGGGCUUAAUAGUGACCAGACUUGAGUCGCCAAAAGUGUGUUCACACGAGAAAACUGAACACACACAGAGAGAUCAAGGGCUUCGGGCUUCAUCAACCAGAUCUCAGAGAUUACUCGGUAGAUAGAAGAAACAGCGUGCGUCCUGAUGACACCGACGCCGUUGCAACGUCUCGGUUGAAGCCCAAAUAGGAACCGGCGGCGAAGCCCAAAUAGGCCGAGACAGGCUGGAAGAGAAGCGCCUGUUUUGCCAUGGUUGGGCCGGCGACGGGAGUGGAUGACUUUGGAUGCGUACCACGGCAGCGGACACUCCCUUUGAGCUUUGACGGUCGCUGAACUGUGAACAGGAGAACAAGGUCUUGUUCAAAACAACUUGUUGCUGUCGGCACUGCCAAGGUGUUCAUUUUCCCAUGCACAUAUCGACGCGAUCGGAGUUGUUGACAGCAGUUGUGGAUGAAAGUGUCCACGAGUCAUGCAUGACCGGGCCCGAUAGCAGUGGCCAGAGGCGCGCGAAGGAAGCGCAAGGCGGAACAGCGCGCGGCGGGCCGUGCGUGCGUGACGGAGCCAAUGCGCAAUGCUGCGCGGCCGUGAUGUGGAGUGGCCAUGCGGCGGCAACCGGCCGCCGGGGAGGGUCCAGGACGUGACUUGUUGAGCGGUGGGCGACGCGGGCCGUCCCGUCCCGCCGCGCAGCGCCUGGCGCCUGCACCCCACGGCUCCACCUCCACUUCCACCUCCACCGCCGCCCACCCUGCCGGCCGUACGGUGGGUGGGCUCCGGCGCCCACUUCACCGACAGACUACUGUUGGCCCCCGCCGGCCCGCGCGUCAGGGGAACAGGGGCGCCUCGUGCUCCGCGCAGGAAUGGAUCAUCCAAGUGCCCAUGACUAUGAGGCCACCCACCAUGACAGGAAGCCACCAGGCCACCACGGCUGGCACUGGCAAGGGCCGGCUUUUUACCAAUGAAUGAUGCGUGCGCUGCCGCAGCCCGCAGCCUUGCGCUUGCCUCCCCGGCCUCCAUGGCGCGCUGCCGCUGCCACUUGGGCGGGAGACACGCCGCGGGCUGCCAAUGCUCGGGGGACAGACAGCCCGUCAGCGCGCGCCCCCGACCCUGCCGGCCAGGGCCCCCAGCAAAGCUCGUCGUCGUCGUCGUCACUUUCUCUCGUGAUCCAGUGUGCGGGGUGCGCGCCGUGGCGUGGCUCCAUGGGCAAUGAGUGGAUGACCGGUGCUGUUGGUCCGGUCCGGUCCGGUCCGGCGUCAGUGAGGUGGGGCACUCGGGGACGGCGACGGGGAGGAGGCAAGGGAGCCUGCGCUGCUCGUGGCCGUGGUCGUGGCGCAGCGGCAGGCUGCAGGCAUGUGUGGUGGCAGGAGUUUCAGGUACGAGUAGGUCAGUAGGACCUGCUGCCUUUUGUCGUGUCGGUCGGUAGAGCAACCGGUCGAUCGCAUGCAUGCAUCGGAUGGUGUUAAUUUGGCAAUGGUUUAUGUUCCUAGUGCUACGUGGCUCGUGAGUUUGUCGCUCACCUACCCCUCCGUCCCAUGAUGUAAAGAUCCUAUGGAGUCGAAAUUUGUCUAAAAGAGUUGAAGCGUCUAAAAUUUAAUUAAAUUUGUACAAAAAAUUACAGAGUGUAGUGACAUUAAAUAGAUAUACUAUGAAAAUAUAAGUAUUGAAGAAUCUAAUAAUACUUAGUUUAUAUCAUAAAUAUUAUUAUCAUACAAUAUAAAUUUGGUCAAACUUUAAACGCUUUAAAUCUUCAAGAUUCAUAGAAUGACUUAUAAUUUGGGAUGGAUGGAGUAUUAUAGUACUCUCUCCGUACCCACAAAAGAAGUCAUUUAGGAUAACGACACGAUCUCCAAAGCUUAAUUUUAACUCCUUGUUUUUUAUAAAAAUAUCUAUCACAAAGUGGUAUAUGUAUACUUUUAUCAAAAUAUUUUUCAAGACAAAUCUAUCUAUAUUGUUUUCACAUUUCCAAAUUUAACAACUUAAAAGUUAUUCAUGAUUUAUAUUCUCAAUGUUUAACCCAAACCUUGUCUAAAACGACUUUCUUUAUGGGUAUGGAGGAAGUAUUAUUUAACAUUGUAUUAAUAAUACUGUUAUUAGUGUUUUUGAGAGGUACCUAUGUUACAGUAUUUUGCUUAUAAUCGAUGAUGCGUCCUAGAAAUCCUCAUGGACGAAGGGAGUACCCUGCCGCUUGAACCAGCACUGCAUAUACCCAGCUAAGUUCCAUGCACAAAUGGAGGUCCAUUUUCAACCCAUUUCACUGCAUGAGAAACAUUAGGAGUUCUGGACAAAGUUGCCUAUCUCAAGAUCCAAAAGUGAAAACAAGCUGGAUCACAAGCAUCUGAUGCCCUCACAUGAAACACUGGCAUUAACGCUAUGACAUAAGAAAAUACGAAUUCAGAAGUGUGCGACCCUUCUCAUGCGAUGUAGAUGAAAGAAACCAUUCCCUUCUCAAGUCGAUUUCCAACCCUUCUCUGAAGCUUCUACUGCUGCCUGCAGAACCAAUGUAUUAUUUCAGUUUAUAAGGAUCAUUGCCAAAUAGUAACAGCUAAGCACUGGACGCAAUGAAUGUUGAUCACAUACUUAAUACAGAGAACAGCUAAGUUUUUCGUUUCUUUUGUUUGUAGCUAAAAAACUCAAUUUUUUAUUUAUUUUGAUUUGAUGUUUAACUGAACCCAAACAACACCCAACAAAAUGAGGGGUUAGUCAAAAGACUUACUUGUGGAGACUUUCCAUGCCAGCUUGAAGUUUCUUUCCAUCAGCACCCACAAUUUCAUCAAUCUUCUGCCCCUUGUGAUAGAAGUGAAACGUAGGCUGUGGAAGAAUCAAACACAUCAAUGACACCAUAUUGUUGUUGGUUGCACAACAAGAAAGAUCAAAAUUAUUAUAAUAUUAAUAUGCAAUGAAUUAAAGUUUGAUAUUUUUUUUUACCACUGAACAUAUAUUUAGACCAUGGAGUUUGUUUCCCAGUCCUUCCUGUAAAGCAAAGCAAAGACAGGAAACAAAAAAAAAAAAACAUUAUCAACAAUAUAAACAAGAACGGCCUGAAGAAUAAAUUGACAAUUUCAAACAUGUGGUUUGUUUUUAUAAUGCAUGAGUUCGUCCUGGCCUCCUGGAAACAAAUGGAACUUUGGUAUCAUUGUAUUAAAAAAAUAUUCAUUUUGAUGUGAAAACAACCACUAUGGACACGGUUCUAGUCCAAAACCUAAUAAGCAACUGUCAUCUACAAAACAGCUAUGUAUAUUGAGGGGGAGGCCACAUCUCGUAUCGGAACCGAUACAGAUACGCUAUGGUUAUGCAGUGGAUACAUAUCCACACCUUAUCGGAAAUAAAAAACAAACAAAAAAACUUCUGAUAUGUGACUCCCUGAUUUGUGAUACCGCCCAGUCCUAGUAUACCUCCGACUCCCGAUUUCUCUUGUUGUUGCCCUAAUGGAUGUACCAGAGAUGCGCAUGUAUCACCGCCCUCCAGUCUUCGAGAGUGCUGCAGCCCGCCACCUACAGGUUGCAGGCUGUAUAACUUCUCGGCAGUGAGCCAUGAAGACUCAGCCAAGCUCCACAAGCUCCAUGUGUUCUUCACUCAGUGCAAUGGCCAUCUACUCUAUGCUCCACAGGGCAGCCAAGGAGCCCAAGGUGAACCUCUGGUAAGUCUCUCCGCCAUGUCCCUUCCUUCUUUUACCUAUCUCCCCAUGCUCUCCCCACAAGCUCCGAACAGCAGCAAUGGCUACCAUGGCCGACCAUCCCUCCCUCUCGAUGUAAUGUCCAUCAACAACAGUGGACGAAUUCUCCACUCCCAAAAUAGAGAUGUUUGGCUUAUACAUUGAUUAGUGUUCUGUACUUAGGUUGGAACAAAGCAAAACUGCAACUGGUGGCAAUUUCAAUGCUCCUUAUUUCCUUCGAGGCUGCUCCUGGUUUUAGAAUUUUACUAUGCAUAGUUAUUUAUUUAUUUAAGAAAUGCUAAAACAUAACUGCCUAUCAGGCUAUUAGGGAAAUGCUACAUCUGUGUAUCUGUAUCCUCGCGAUACUGAUAUGCAUAUCCGUAUCCAAGCUUCAUAGCAUAACAGGCAGCCUGGUUCUAAAGAACUUAAGUGAUGCAGUAACAAUGUCGAUCAAACAUACCAAAAUCUACUUUUGCACAGAUUUAACCUGAAUUUAAAUUUGCGAUGCUAGAGAAGCAAUAUGAAACAGAGUUAAUAUGGACAAAGCUUGUGGGUAUUCUUCAUUUCUUCCUGAACUGGAAUUGGUUAGUGAGAACCAAUAGUUAGAGGUUAAGUACCCUAAACAAUAGCAAACCAGUUGCAAUUACAACUCUACAGCAGAGAUCUUAAAACUGGUAUAUUGAAAACAAGUGGCGGGUGAUGAAGAAGCAGCAGACUGUGACUUUGGAUAAUCAUAUUCCUGAUCCCCAUAUUAAUCCAAACAGUACAUACUUAACAGGCAAUUUCUGGCAUAUCACAGUAGCAGUAAAAUCUAAAUUCGCAGACUUACCAAUUCAAUGUCAACUUUGUAUACAGGUAUCUUAGGAUACUGGCUGCUCAAUUUAGAUACAAGAGGUGCAAUCGCCCUACCUGCAGUGCAGCCCAAUCACACAACAAAGUUAUGACACAAAACCAACGAAGCCCUAAACUUAGCAACGCUGGCAUCAGAAUGAGGCAGUACUUACAUGGUCCACACCACACGGCCGUGUAGUAGAACACGGCUGGUAGCUUCUCAUCUGCAAAAUCCACAGGGAUCAUAGCCAGUCAGGCACAAGAAGAGAACGAACAAACUGUCCGCACCGCCAUGACCCAAUUCAUCACCCAGCACAAGACAUACCAAGGGGAGGCAAGGACGGACUAGCAUCUAGCAGGGUUUGGAAACGGGGAGAAGAGGAAAUCGGCGCCGUACCUUGCACCUUGGAAAGGAUGCUGUUGAAGGAAUCCGCGGAGCCCACGACCACCAUGCUGGAACCACCUGCAACACAGCCAAUCCAAACGACCCGUCAGUCGUCGAGCGCCACGCAAAAUUCCGGCGGGGCAUGGGCGAGACGGAAGGAGGAUCGAGUCAUGUAGAGGAAUACUCGCUGAAGAGAAGAGGCGAUAGGGAGCGGCAAAACCGGGCGGCGACGAUGCCGACGAGGAGGGGGCGAGGGGCGCGGGGCUAGGGUUCACGGCGAAGGGGAGGUGGUGAGGUCUCGGGGCGGCGGAGGCGGAGGCGGAUGCGGAGACGAGGCGAUAGAGACGGCACAAUCGGCGAGCCAUACUGCGGAAGUGCGGAGUGUGGUGCACGGUAGCGGUGGCGGCCGUUAAGGCCCGGAAUCCACCGCUGGACUCUCCAAAAUUGGUCAAUUGGGCCUCCAUUACCGUUUCAGGCCCAACUAUGAGCAACUUUUCUGGGCGAUGGGAGGGGAAGGAAAAGCCUCCCUAAACUAUUGCUGAAGUCUAACUUAUCUCCUGUAUAUGUGCAGAACUCUAAACCAGAUAAUUUGUCUCACUCAACUCUCAAAACCUUUUAAAUUACCUCUUACUUCAUUUAGUAGUUAUUUUCAAAGAGGUUUCAUACUCUUUUAACAAAAAAUUGAUAAACAUCUAAUAAGAUUUUCAAACCUAGAAGAAAAAUCUCUAAGCUUCUAAAAUUUUCAAGAAAAAAGAUCUUGGUGAUAGAUUGGGACACAUAAAUAAAACAAAUAAGUAUUUAGAGCACAUGAAAACAUCUCUAGAAACUUCUAAAUAUGGACGUAAAUCUAUAAAUUGAAAGAAUAUAUAAAAAAUUUUAAAACAACCUAAUCGAUGCCUAGAUAAAUCCUAAAAAUUUCCAUAACAAAAACACAAAGGUGCAAUGCAUUUAACAUUAAUGUAUGUUGUGUUUAUCCUAGUUGCAUCUCAUAUUUUGAUUGUGGAAAGUUUUUAGAAACACAUUUAGGCACUGAUGAACAUAAGUAUUGCCCCUCUAACCAUGUACGAAAAAGGUUGGGCAAAUAAAAUUUGAGGGUGAUGAAAUCGCCAUAAAUGUCUCGUUUUAUAUAAUAAAGGAAAUAAUUGACAACCAAGUUAAGUCAAAACUCGAUUCAAGUGAAUGUUGUAAUACUAGGAACUUAGCUAACUUAGUUAUAUAUGUUCGGUUCUAUUGACCAGUAAAAGUUUAAGGCCCCUUGGAAUGUAGGAAUUUUUUGCUAUUGCGUUUUUAAAUUAAAUAAAUUGAUUCUUAAUACAGGAUUGUUCUAAAUUUUUUGUGAUCCAAAGGAGUCAUAAAUAGAAAAUACUGGCAAGUCAUCUAUUUGACCUUAGGAUAAUCAGGUUGUUGUUGAGCCGUUGAUCUUUCCAGUUUAUCUUAGACAUGAUGACUAUCUAGAACACUUUAAUGGAUGAACCCUCUUCUCUGCAUCACGGAUCACCAAAGACAACGCCCUUGCCUGCCGCUUGUCGGCAGGGACGAAGCCAGAAAAAAAUUUAGGAGGGGCUGAACAAAAAUUCUACAUCGACCUAGCUCUACUAUUAUCCCUCGUAAUAAAAAAAUAUAUUAGUUUAAAGUAGUCUUAGAUUAAAAAUAUAGACCAAUAAUGAAAUUCACAAAAUAUAUCUAAAAAAUAAAGUUCUCAGCUCAUCCUACUUUAUAAAUUUAUGUCUAAAAUUAAAAGAAAAACACUAAAAAUUUCACUAGGCCAGCAGCCGUAGGGGGUCUCCCCCUAGCCCUACCGCUGGCUUCGUGGCCACCUCAUCCUCAACCUGGCCUAGAUCUGCCACGAGUGGCAACAGGGAAAGCUAAACCAAUUGCCACGGUCGAGCCGCUGGCCGUUGUUGUGUUUUGACGCACCGACACCAGGCACAAGCUUCUUGUCACCUCGAUAAUGAAAUGCAGCCAUAGCUGAGCUCGUUGUCCAAUAAAUGAUUUCACAAGUUGGUGUUCUCCACGCGAUGACCCAUGCCUUAACUUCGAGAUCGAUGAAGACUUGGUGUUUUUGUUUGAGAAGAUAUGAUGAAAUAAUUCUAUUUUAGUAUUUUUACAUUGGAAUCAAAUAUGGUACUUGGUUAAAAAGAAAUUAAAUGAAAUCAUCUUAGUUUUGUAUUUGGUUAGAGGGAUGAGAAUAUGAUUUAUUAGACAUCCAUUAAGUGAAAUACGCGUGCUAUCCUCUCUCACCUUCUUCUUCACAUGGUCUCCUAGUCUACAGCUACCUUGGACCUAACUGACACCGCCUCCUACCCAUAGCUCCGCAUUUGGCUCCACCAGUUGGUAAUUGCAUGUCCAAAUAAGACAAACAAGUUCACCUCUACUCCUCUCAUUGUCCUGUUUACCUAGUCACCCUCGCCCACGACUCCAGACCUCGCCUCCCUCCACCGGUCACCCCUCGCCUCCACCUUCAACUCCCCCCAUGUUCUAAAUUGUGAUACACCCGAAACUACGGGGUCUAUCAGCGAACGGUGUAAUACUGGCUCAAAAGUCAUGAUUGAAAGUAGUGUUCGCUGAUUUGUUGUGAGAAAAAACACACUGAACUUUGUUUAGGCCCACUCAACUAAUUAGUUGGGGAAAUCAGCUAAUAACUAAUUGUUAGCUUGAUGAUAAGUAAAACAUCAACCGACUUAUUAACUAAGGAUUAAAAAAAACCUUAAUUAUUUUUUAGAAGCUAGUUGUUACAGAUAUAUCCAAAAUGUCACAGCCUUUGAGGCCCAAAUCUCUUGGGUUUGCACGAGUAGAUUAUGCUGCAUGUGCUCGUGGACAACGUCCUCUUUUCAUGGGAAAGAAACUAGGGCUCCACUAUGCCACUAGGUACGCUUCCACAAAUCUUAAUUAUCUUCCAUUUGGUCUUAUCCUAGCCAGAGAUCUCUUCUUAUCUUGUCAAGCUUAAUUAAUUAAGCUGAUACAGUAUAUAUCUGUGUGUGUGCUCGCGUAACGGCGUGAGAAAGUAGCAUGGCACAUGGCCUAUAUGGCUAUAUAUAUGUGUGUGUUCUAGUGUCUCAAACGUGUGUAUGGUAAAAAAAAUAAGUGUUUGCUCGGACAGAUUAGGCCAUGGAAAUCGGACCAUUUUGCAAUAGUUUAGCAUUUAGCAACAGGGUCGUAAUGGUGGGAAGGGCAAUAUGUGCGGGCGAAGUGGUGAACGAGCACAUAAAAGUUCAGCAUAUGAAACGUGCGCUCUUUAGGUGAAUUAUUAUGGAAGAAGGGUACCAAAGAAAAUAGUUUCUUGACAGAGGUCCAAUCAAGUGCACAGUUACUUUAUUUGAUUAUUAGGUCAGUCUCAAUGCAUAGUUUAAUGACAUAGUUACCAAGACUAUAAACUAGGUAACCGAGCCACAAGAGUUUUAUGGGGAUGAAACUCCUCUCUCAUCUGAUGAAACUCCUUCAUUUCAUGACCCUGCCAAGUCAGAAAUUUUACUUAUGUGGCAACCUAUGUAAUGUGCAUGACACUCCCAUAAAACAUGUAUUGAGACUGGCCUUAGCGAAUCGGAGAUAAGAUCAUAGUAUGUCAGUAAUAAUAACCACAGUGCAAAAGCAAUCUGCAGCUGUCUUUUUGCCCCACACGCUGUACACUUCCACAAUGUUGUGUUAGACUUUGUGGCUCCUUUGCAUAGUUGGUCAGGUGUUUAAAACACCGUAACUACAACAAGAAAAGACUUGUGUUUACGAGCGUAUCUUGAGCUUCAAUGUCAAAUAGUAGGUGUUAAGUUUUUACAAUCCACACCACAUGAAAAAAAAUGAUUGUCUUUUUGCCUCAAUGUAUUUUUCUUGUGUUACUUAUUCUAGAUUAGUGGUUACUGGUUAGCUCUGUCCAAAAAAGUUGAACCCCCCUAAACAUUUUAUGUAGUAGUAAAUAAUAUGUAUCGACGUAUUGAAAUAACAUCAUUAAGGUAAUUAAUAUUACUAUGCCAACCUAGCCCACAAUAAAAAAAAUUUCAUAGCAAACUUCAUAAACCAUAUUCAAGAAAUGUUUUACAAAACGAACUCGCUGCAUGCACGCCAUUCUGGUGCUCUGAUCCAAUCUCUGUUGAUGAGAAGAAAGCAGCAACUAGAUGUGUGGUCUGAACCUGAUACCACCACCACAGGAGAUAAGAAAAUUCGUCGCGUCCGUACCGCAUGGUUCAAUGUGCGCCGUACACCAUUUGCCUAUCGUUGCACUGAACCGGCCUGGCUGCGUGUGUUUUGUUGUGUAACCACAUGUGCCCUGUCCUGCUCCUCUUUUCUGACGAGAGAAGAAAAAAAACACACACCAUUGUCCCUGCAGAAAAGAAUGAGUUGAGGGGCCUGCCGCGGUGGCGCCUCUGCUAAUUCAUACUCUAUUAUUUGUCCUAAACUCUUGAUCUCCUGAAUUAAUUAGGAAUAUACAUGUAGAUUCUAGACUAAUUUUUUUUGAACAAUGUAUGAAUUAGCAGAUUCCUUCUGCGAGUUUGAAUAAAUUCUGUGUUCAGUCUGCCUUGGUACACCUGUAGGAUGUCUCACAAUUGACAAUCCGGCAGAUAAUUUGUAUGUUGUACUGGUAAAAAAACGUAAACUCCAUGGUGCACCUACGUCGUGCCAAAAGCUAAUAAUGGGUUUAGUUUCCAUCUCUCUCUGGCUGCACUGCACCCUGCUCCUCCGCAGGAGAAAACUCAUGGCACGGCCCAGCUAAAGGGCCGUCCACUCCGGCAUGCCGGAAGCCGGAUCCAGCAUCCGGGCAUGGAGAAAGCGGCAUAAACCCCUCAAUUUCCAUCGCGAGACUGUUCCAUUCCAUAUGGAUCUACUAUCUCCUCUGCAGCAGCAGCUGGCGGGCGAUCGACCGACCGAUCUCACCCACAAGUCUAACGAACGAACUGGCCAGCUGCAGGCUGCAGGCAUCUCUCUGCAGCAGCAGCGAUCAGGGCCAUGCCGCCGCUGGUAGUGGUUGCAGCCAGGCUUCCACAGUUCCACUCCGCGCGUUUAGAUGCUGUUGCUAAAAGAUGCCCGCUGGGGCAUGAUGGAACUUCCCGCCGGACGACGACGAACGGAACGGGGGCAUGUGGCAUGCAUGAUGGCAAAGCAGGCAGCAUGGGCGCGAGGAGGCCCCCGUUGCAGCAGCAGCAGCAGCUACCUACCAGCACGAUCAGAUCAGGGGCUCGAUCGAUAGAUCGGCCGGGCGCCGACAAAGGUCUUGUUUAGUUCGUAAAAAUUUUUAAGAUUCUCCAUCACAUCGAAUCUUUGGUCGUAUGCAUGAAGUAUUAAAUAUAGACGAAAAUAAAAACUAAUUGCACAGUUUACCUGUAAUUUGUGAGAUGAAUCUUUUGAGCCUAGUUACUCCGUGAUUAGAUAAUGUUUGUCAAAUAAAAACGAAAUGCUACAGUACCAAAAAAUAAAAAAAUUUUCGAAACUAAACAAGGCUAUAAAGGCUACCGAGCUAGUAGAUGAUGGAUGCGGCUAGCUGAGCUCUGGCUGUCACCGGGGGAGGAGCAGGGUUGUGCGCUGCAUAUGCAACAGCUACAACGGGGUUAUGGGGGAUAACAGCUCCUGGGGACGACAGGGCCCUCCAUAUGCUCAUUGUCAUGCCGCCUUGUCCGGCCCGGAUAAAAGCUGCGUGCUUGCUGGUGCAUUGCAUGAGGUGUUUGUGUUAAACAAAGCCUAUAAAUGGAGAACUUGUAGAUAACGAAGCUGAAGUGACGGAUUGACGAGACUAAUGCAUGCUAGGUCUGAUCGGCCGCCCAUCACGCACCAAUUAAGCAAUGACGGCGUCCACGUGUUGAUCCAUGCAACCCAUCUACUGCUGUUGCUGCAUGUUAAUUGAAUCGUUGAUCAGAUGGACCGGCAACAGCUAGAAGACGGAGAAGCGAGGAAAGAGACGGCACUAGCUAGCUCGUUCAACGAUGGUUCAUGGUUCACACCGUACCAUACCAUGAUACCACUACGUACGACGGUAGCAGCUGCAACAGUCCGUGCGCAGCGGCUACAUACAUGGCGCGCCGAGCAGUAUCCAUGGACUGGCGCCUGGCGGGACGCGGCCACACUGCGCGACACUGUUCCGGAGCAUGCCAUGUCAAGUCUCGUCUCGGCGCGCGGCCGCGAUGGCGACGGCGGGGUCCCUGCCGACCCGCCGGCCGGGGUUAGUUAUUGGGAAGCAUGUCCAGCUGCAUGCACCUCCGACGCGCCCCCAGCUACCGUGAUCGUAGCUGGGCCUUGUUUAGUUCCGAAUUGUUUAGUUCUCGGAAGUAUCAUAGUAUUUUCGUUUUUUAUUUGAUAAAUAUUAUUUAAUUAUGGACUAACUAGGUUUAAAAGAUUUAUCUCGUGAUUUACAGAUAAACUGUAUAAUUAGUUUUUGUUUUCAUCUAUAUCUAAUGUUUCAUGCAUGUAUCUUAAAAUUUGAUGUGCCGUGAAAUGUUCGAAAAGAUUUUAGUUUUUAAGGUGAACUAAACAAGACCCUAUAGUACUAGUGUCCUGUUUGUGAAAUCUGGAUGGAGCAACGAGCCAGCGGCAGAGACAAGGGCCAGCAGCUCUGUGCCAUGCGGCGGGGCGCCGGGCGUCUUUUGGGCAGCUAUGUAUAGGCAGAGACAGAGUAGCUUCAUGCUGCGCCGCAGCGUACGUACAUACUAGUAGGUAGCUAUGUAUAGGCAGCAGGAGGAGAGGAAUCGCCUUCGCGUCCCUGGAGUGGAUCCGGUGGGGAGAUUUUUACAGCUUCAGCUCGUUGGUUCCUGCGAGAACGAUCGCAUUCGCAUCAGGAUCCAGCAUGCUCGCCGGCAUCUCUUGUUCGAUCAGCAAAUGCUCCUGUCCAGUGCAGUGAGCGGCCCGUUCCCUCAGCUCGCGCGUCGGCACGGCGGCCGCUCAGUAAUUGGCUGGCGUGCCUCGACCCGUUCGAGCAGACGACGACGACGACGGCGAGGGCGCAUCCGCAUGCAUGCAGCAACGGAGAAUAGUUUCGCACGGUGACUAUUGCCUCUGUCCUGGUCCUGGCGGUGCCGGGGCUCUGGCUACUCAUCUUUUCCUGCGUCCUCGGCCUGAGAUAUCAUCGUUAUGGGCCAGCAACAUCUGCUAGCUGCGACGUGUUGACCGGCCGGCCGGGCCAUCUCGCUGGACCGACGAGCGAGGCGAGAGCCCACAACCACGGGCUGUACCGCGAAAUUGAAUUCCAGGUUGAUUAUUGAUGAGAAGAUGGCUGUGCCACAGACACAGUCGUUCUUCGUGGUGGUCACGACGUGAUGAUGCUGGCCUGGCCUGGCCCGGCCCGUUCACUGUCACACGUGUGAUAUGGUACUCAGGCCCUGAGGGUUUACUACGUCAGGAACAAACGUGUAUGGCUGUCAGAUAACGGAUUAUUAGGACAGCAGCACCGGGCACCCAAGGACCCUCAAGCAAUGUACUCCAGUGCUGCCUUGCUGUAGUGCAUGGUAACUGUCACAUGCUGCGCCUAUUCUUGCACCUGGGCGAAGCCACGUUGUGGCCACUAGAUGCCCAGGCACCCACGGCAAAAUUGCAGCCACGUUAUAAGAGCAUCUCCAAGUGUUUUAUAUUUGAGGUUUGCAUUUGAGUAAUUUGAUCAAAAAGCUCCAAAAGAGGUAUCCAACGGUUUUGCAUUUGGAGUUUGUAAUUUGGGUAACUUGGCAAAUGAGGGAGCAAACUUGGCAAAAAUGCCAAGCUGUGGACGACUUUGCAAACCUGAUUGCGCGAGUAAAGUCACACGCGAGGAAAGCGCGCGCGCCUGGAGACCUUCUAUUUUUAUCCCUUGCCAAGUCCAAAUGCCAAUUCCCUUGGAGAUGACCUAUUUUUAUCCUUUGCAUUUUGUUAUGAGAGUUUGCAAAUAGCAACAAAUGUCAAGUCAAUUUGCCAAAGCCUUUGGAGAUGCUCUAAGGAACAAAUUUCCACCCUUUGUGCAACCCCGUGGCCCAAAAGAAGGCACCUCCACCGGCCUAACUGCCCAAACUCAUGUGCUAUGCAUGUCGCAUGUAGCUUCCAGGAGAAGGAUGUCAAUACGCAGUGAAAUUUUUGUUGUGUCUUUGACCACGCGUGAGUCUGCGAGUGCGAGAGGAGGCGCAACGUUUCGUCUGCCGCAGCGAGCCAUUGACGCAACUACGCAAGGGCGGCAGCGGCAAGGCACCAAGUCCUGCGCCCCUUCUCAAGGCACGACGCCUGCGCCCCUUCCCCUUCCCAGCUUCCCAGUCGUCGACUCGUCGAGCCGAGCUGAGCACCGACUGCUGCGGCAACCGCUGGAUGUGAGCGCCCUCAUCCUCACAUCCCACUGUUCUAGACUUCUGGUCCCAAAGAAAAGGGAAGGAAUCAAUUCCUUAAUUUAUUUAUCUUGUAUUUCAAUCAAGUUAAGCCUCACAUCCGAUCGGGCAUCCGAUUUUGAUUCUUUCUGGAAUCCUGGUUAUAAGUUGAAAUUUAGUAGGAUACAGUUUAGGGUUAGCGUGUUACUUUUUGUUUAAAUUUUCAAUAAAUUCCAGUAUGGGGUGAAACCCCUCCUGUUUCCUCAAAAAAAAUUGGGGUUUUCUCCUUUUAGCAUAUGCAUAUACAUUUAUGAUAGUAUGGAUCUACAGUUUGAUUAUGUUUGCAAAUGAUAGGUAAUCAUGGAGAGGUUUUAUAAACGUGGAGCUCAAGACAUAGACACUGCCAACAAUAAUAGAAAUUCAUGUCUAGAUGAUCUCAGUUGGGAAGAGGAGAUUAAAUAUGAUCCAGGCUUGAGAAAACAAAUUGAUGCUUACCAUCCUAACCAUAGAGAAAAGGCCAGAAGAAAAUAUUUGGAAAAUGGACCUUGCCAGCCUCGCACAUGUAAUUUUCCUGUGUGUGAUAUUGGAGACAAGCCGAGAAGAUUUAUCCCGGAAUGGUUUGAUGAGUUUGGAAGCUGGAUUGAAUAUAGUGAGUCAAAGGAUAGAGCAUAUUGUUUUUGUUGUUUCUUAUUCACAGACCGGGACAGGUUAAAUCAAGAUAAAUGCCUUCAAAGACCCGGAGAUACUCGUUGGAGUUCUCAUUACAAAACUUUCAAAAGUUUAGUCAACAUGUUUCCUACAAUAGUUGAAGUGUUAAAAGCUGUUGAAAAGGAUGACAGAGAUUGGAAAAAUAGAGAUCAAGCAUCAAAUCUUCUAGUAUACUUCAAAUCAUUGGACUUUGCCUUUUGUUUGCAUCUCAUGUUGACUACAUUAACUGCCACAAAUGCCUUGUCAUUAGCAUUGCAACGCAAGGAUCAAGACAUUGUUAAUGCCAUUGGAUGUGUGAAAUCAACUAGACUCCAUUUGAAUAACGUUAGAAGAGAUGAGUGGGACAAAUUAUUAGAUGAAGUGAAUGAGUUUUGCGACAAGCGUGAAAUUGACCGAGUGGAGAUGGAAGAUACAUAUAUUGAUCCCUGACAACCUAGAAAAAAAAUAGGAAUUACAUACAAGCAUCACUAUGAAGUGGAUUGCUUUAAUGAUGUUAUUGAUUGGCUAGUUCAAGAGCUUGAUAGCCACUUUAGUGAGACAAGCUCUCAAUUGCUUGUUUGCUCGGCUGCUUUCGACCUAAGGGAUCAAUUUCAUGCUUUUGAUGUGGAGACUUUGAUGAGCUUAGCAAAACUAUAUCCUCAUGAUUUUAGUUAUGAUGAGUUGAGGGAGCUUAGCCAUGAUCUUUGCCUUUACAUUGCAGAUGUGCCAGAAGAUGCUAGAUUCUCCAACAUCAACACUAUCGUUGAGCUCUCUCAAAAAAUGGUUGAGAUAGGAAAACAUCAUUGUUAUCCAUUGGUCUAUCGACUUUUGAAGCUUGUAUACUAGUAUUGCCUGUCGCUACUGCAACAGUUGAGAGAUGCUUUUCUGGAAUGAAGAUUGUCAAAACAAGUUCGUUUGAUCGCAUGGGUGAUCAACACUUGAGUCAUAGACGUAUUUGCUAUCUAGAGAAAGAAGAAAUGAAGAAAGUAAGCAACGAGGCUGUGGUUUGUCGGUUCAUGACCAUGGAAGGAAAAUGGCGUAAAUAUGAUCUCUGAUAGAUAAUGCAAUGUAUCUAAUUUUAAUCGAUAUUUCUACAAUUUAUUUGCUAAAUAAUUGACCUAUAUUUUCUCUUUCCUUUUAGCCAAGGCUUGGGAUCUACAUCAUGGUCUCCUGGAUAAAAGAUUUUGCUAUAUGGGCAUGUUUUCAUGAUGAUUUUGGCAUUCUAAAUGAAUACACUUCUUUUCUGUUAAAUGGUGAGUGCUAUAUUUCGACCAAAAUCUCAUCUCUAUUGCUAGAAGUCGAAUUUGAUAUUAAAAUAUGGUAGCUGCACAUUAGUUAUGCUAUUGUUGAUUGAACAUUAUAUGAGUUAUGAAUUAAGUAGUGCACCCCCUGUCAUUUUGCUUUAGCUUGGCCUCUCUCGCCCACAAUCAUUUCGGGUUCGUGUUCAUGAGCCUCUAGCCCUCUACACUACAGCGACCCAACGAGGCAAAGGUAUCGACAGAAACAGAUUACUUCUUGUCUUCCGUGGCGAGUAAAGGUGCUCUGGACUGGACUGGACUGGACUUGACUGUGGCGCUUUUGCCAAUCCUGGACGGGCAGGCGUAGCUAGCGGUGAUCUGAUGAACCAAUCCCUGCGGCAACGCAGCGAGCAGCGCCACUCCCGCUAGCGUAUCGAGGCACCCGUCCGUCCGUGUCUCCAAUUAUUGACGAGCUUGCCGCUGCGCGAGGUGCCGGGAGCAGGGAGCUGCGCGCGCACUCGCCGACUCGCCAACGACGACGCCGAUCCUGACCUGAAACCUGCGGAAUCCAUCCACCCAUCUCGGUGUCCGUCCAUCACAAACACCACCCGACCGUGCUGCCCUGCGCCCUCUGCUGAUGAUGGUCUCGUCCCGACCCUGCUUUUCCCUACACACAGCAUGCAUGGGAUCGGUGGAGAGGAGAGAUGCAUGGGGCCGGCAGCCGGCUAGCUCUGCCUGGACCAUGGGUGGUGCGUCCGUCCGGCCAGCCAGCAAGCUCGCUCACGCGUAGCGCGUCGAAACCCAAUCCACUGCGUGCCGUUCGUUGUUAGGGAGGCAGCGACCGGGCGCUGCCGUGCGCUCACACAUCCUCCGUCCGUCCGUCCGCCACGCCACCCGGCCCGUUUGACCGUAUGAUCCCUCGCUAGUCAGUAGUCACUCCCCCUACCACCUGGAGUACCUCCUCAAUUGACCAUGCAUUCCCAUCUUACGUCUCGUCCCUGGUCUCGCGAACGACGGCUUGCAUUGCACCUCCGGGCGCUGGGCGCCGGGACCAGUGAGCCUACGAGUGCUGCUGCUGCUGCCUGCGCCUGCCUGCCUGACACAUCGCGAUCCCCCAUUUUGCAUUCGCUUUGUCUGCUCAUCCCGUUAAGGCCUUGUUGAGUUCCGAAAAGUGAAAAGUUUUCGGUACUGUAGCACUUUCGUUUGUUUGUGACAAAUAUUAUCUAAUUAUGGACUAACUAGGAUCAAAAGAUUCGUCUCGUGAUUUACAGCUAAACUGUAUAAUUAGUUUUUGUUUUUGUCUAUAUUUAAUAUUUCAUGCAUGUGACACAAGAUUCGAUGUGACUGGAAAUCUUAAAAACUUUUUGGUUUUCAGGCCUAAGUUCCACUGAUAGGGAUCCGGGAGUACUUGGGUGAUUCAAAAGUUGGCUUAACCGUCGCAAGGGAAUUCAGGCCAGAUCUAGUUUUGAUAACCUGGGCCCUUUGUGAACAACUUUCAUUCGGCCAGCUCGGGAACGGGCGGCCCAUGGAGGUAGACGCUUCUGGGCCAGCCUUCACGAGUGAGCCAAUUCCAAGUCGAACCACGACGGCGGCCGUGCGGUACACUCUGCUAGGGCUACGGGCAUCACCCCGAGGCCGGCCCAGAAUAUGCACAUAUUUUUUGUUCUGAUAUAUAAACGUGAACGCUUGUAUACAGACGUGCGGUAAAGACGUGCAUAGCCAAUAAAUCUCGAGAUUAAGAAAAUCAUCGUAUAUGCCUUGUUGUCGAUGAGUACGUGUCCAUACUUUAGAUAUGUAUAAAUUAUAGAACCAAUCCUGUGUCUGAAUUUCAAACAAAAUAUGUCAUUCCCUGGUGGAGUGGCUUCCGAAAACUGUACCCGUAGAGAAUGACUUUAGCUAAAACUUUAUGUGAUUUAAUUGUCAUAAGAAUGAAACUUUUUUAUUAUUAUAAUCAUUUUAUAAAUGAAUGAAAAUCGUUCUCCCAUUAAAAAAUUUAGUUUUAGAACAAAUGAGCCAUGCUUUUUUCUUGACGAUUCUUGAGUUUAUUUUGCAUACUUCCAAAUUUAGUUUGAAAUUUGAAACUAAUUUUGAGCAUGUGUUUUGUUAAAGAGAAAUGCUUAGAUUUAUUAUAAGCAUUCAAAAAAAAGUUUAGUUUUUUAUUUGUGGAUGCUAAAAAAUUUGAGCUUGUUAUGAAUGCAUUUGAACUUAAUUUAAAGAAACUAUAUUUGUGGUUUGUUAAACAACUCCAGAUUUCACUUGAGCAAGGAUGCGUGGUAAAGAAGCUGCAGCAUAAGAUACUUAUUUUUGAAUUAUGAAUUUGUACAUUUUUUUUUAAAAAAAUUGAUAAACAUUUGGUGCUAAUCAACUUAAUCGAAAACUCAAAUAUAACAUUAUGGGAAAAUUUUAAUUUAAAAAAUACAAACAAUUUUAUACCAACAAAGCAAAAAAAAGGAAUGUUUGGGACGACUCCACUCUACGUUUUUCACCUUCGCUCUACGUUUUUUAGUCAAAACGGUUUUAGCUUUAUGCACUCUGUUCGAGAAAAUAGAUGGAAUUAUGAGAGCACCUAAAGAGGUGCUCUACAAACUCUAAUUUUUAUGAAAAUUGCUCCAUUUGUGGAGUAGAGUUUAUAUAUUAGUCUCAAACACCCCUUGAAUAGGCCGUGCUUGAAGUUUAGCGCCUAUUUGAAAACUUACAUAAUUUUUUUAGGCCACUAGGUCCUUGUUUUGGAUCAAUAAAAUACAUUAAAAAAAGGUUAGGUCAUCUUUCCGAAGUUGCUCGCCCAUAAAAAAAUAUUUUAUAAAAACUCUAAUCCUUGUUUUGUACGGAUUAACCCUUUUACUGAUAUACGAUUUUACCUAAAUUUGCUUGAAGAAAGGUUUUUGGAAGACAUCCAUAUUUUGUUUGUUGAUUUGUUAUAAGAAAAAAAAGUAUUGUACCAUGGCUGAUAAGUUUAUUUUGUCUUUAGAAUUCAGCAGAUAUAAUGUAUAUUUAUAUAUUAUAUACAACAUUUUAUUUAAUGAAAAAAAAAUCGGCCUUAUGCCGCCAGGAGCACGUGUGAUUUGGUACGUUUGCCGGUGUCGUGCGCCCGUGCAGUGGAGCACUGGAGCUAGGGCAAAAGCUGGAUACGUACGAAUGAGUCCGUGCAGCGCCGGCGUGCGACGAAUGAGUCCGCGGCGUGCGAUCCGUGCCUAGUCAUCGGAUUCCAGCAUCAAUAAUCGUGUCAACGACCUUCGAGAAUGCUUACAUAACAUACGAGAUUAGGAGUAUCAUCUAGACUCAGAUAUGAAAUCUGAUUUACAUGCAUUCGUCACUACAGGAUUAUGAUAUUGUGCCAAGUGUUUGGGCACUCGGCAAAGACCUAUCUCGCACUUGACAAAGGUUUUACCGAGCGUCCACUCGGCAAAGAAUUCAUCGGUAAAGAGAUUUUUUGCCGAGUGUUACAUGUCAGAUACUCGGCAAAGGCUUUUGUCGAGUGCCACAUCAGCACUUGGCAAAGAUAAAAAUAAAAAAAACCCAAAAAAUAGGAAAAAAUCUUUUUAUUGGGAGGGCUACCAAUUUUGACAAGAUUCGAACAUAGGAUCUUUUUCACAAGCAUUUUACUCCUUAUCCACUGCACUACACCAUCACUUAUGUCUAUAUUUAAUUUUGGUUCCUCAUAUAUUAUACCAAAUCACAUGUAAAUUGGUUAUUUGAGCCUCUAUACGAUUUCAAAUCAAAACAUUGUCAACUACAAAGUUUUAUAACUUUUUGAGAUCUAUAAUUUUCAUUUAGGGAGUUUCUCCAUCCGAGGUCAUUUAUAAAAUUUGAAUUUCAAAUUUAAGAAAUUUAAACGUAGUUUUUGCAUGACAAGAUGAUUUCAAAUCAAAACGUUAUCAACUAUAAAGUUUUAUAACUUUUCAAGACCUACAAAGUUUAUUUAGGCAGUUUUUUCAUCUGAGGUAAUUUCAGAAAAUCAAAUUUAAACAUUUUCAAAUAAAGACGCAGUUUGGAAUGACAAGAUAAACUCAAAUAAAAAAGUUGCCAAACUAUAAAAUUUCAUAACUUCUCAAGAACUUCAAAGUUUAUUUUUGUUUGUUUGGUCAUUUGCUCAUCUGACACUGUAAUUCUAACAUCAUUUUUCACAAAUCUUAUAGAACUAUAAGAGAGAUGUAAAAUUUAAACAAAUUUAUUUUUAUUUUGUUAAAUAAAGAAAUAGCCAAAAUAAAUAUUAUAGAUCUUGAGAAGUUAUACAACUUUGUAGUUCAAAACUUUUUGAUUUGAAUUUGUUUAGAGCUUUAAAAUUUGAUUUGAAAUUUUCUUUGUCGAGUGUUUUUUUUUGACACUUGGCAAAGAAGAAUCGGCAAAGAGAGUUCUUUGCCGAGUGAAAAAAAAACACUCGGCAAAGAAGGUUUUUGCCGAGUGUCUAACGUGGCACUCGGCAAAGACCAGUCUUUGCCGAGUGCUGUCCCCUAGCAUUCGACAAAAGGUCGGGUGCUCGACAAAGCACGAGUUUCCUAUAGUGCGUGAUACCAUCACUCUACUAGAAAAAAAAAAAUCAAUAACUAUCUGAGUUGCCAAGCUAAAUUUCCUAUCCGAACCCACACUAACGCACGCACCAGUCCUGGCUAUUCUGUUUUCACACACAGUUCCAGUAGAAAAGUUAAGACCCUGUUUAGAUUGGAGAUGAAAAUUUUUUGGGUGUCACAUCGAAUGUGUCAGAAGGAUGUCGGGAGAGGUUUUUAGAAACUAAUAAAAAAACAAAUUACAUAGCUCAUCAGAAAACUACAAGACAAAUCUAUUAAGCAUAAUUAAUCUAUCAUUAGCACAUGUGAGUUACUGUAGCACUUAAGGCUAAUCAUGGAGUAACUAGGCUUAAAAGAUUCGUCUCAUGUUUUUCAAUCAAACUGUGUAAUUAGUUUAUUUUUUUAUGUACAUUUAAUGUUCCAUGCAUGUUUCCAAAGAUUCGAUGGGAUGAACGAAAAAAUUUUGGGUGGAAACUAAAUAGGGCCUAAAACGACGCUCCUGUAACUGUGUAAGUAUACAGCAGUACUAAUCGUCAGCAAAGGCGCUGGUAGUCUGGCAGCUCGAUCUUGCCUUCAGCGCCAAGGCUGGAGUAUUAUAUGGUUGACCAAGUCGCUGCACCAUUGCCGCCAAUCAAGGGUCCACAGCUCAAACUCUCAGUGGGUCCCACCCCCGUCCACGUCAUGUUGGCAUGCAUGUUCUGAUGCUCCAUUCAACGGCGAGCUUUAUCCAUAGCUACCUUUCUUCCUUCGUGGCUUCGUACGUCUUACUUACCAUAUUGCCAUGUGUGGUAAUUGGAGUAAAGUAUACUUUAAUUUGUGCCUUGCUGGUCAUUUAUAGCACUACUCUAAUCGCAAGUGCCCAAUACCCAGGCCCGGCUCUAGGAGGUGGGCAGGCAGUGCGACCGCCAUGAGCCCACGGAGCUAGGGACCCAAAAUAAUAUAAAUAUUUAGUAUAUAUAAUUUUUUAUUUGGCAUAACUAACACAUAUAAGUCUUUAAAAUUUCAUUGAAGGUGUCUUCCAGUCUUCCUAUUGUAUGUAACUUGGAAGUAUUAGAGCACAAGCAGCGAAAUCAAGAGACUAGAGGACGAUUUAUUUUCUACGGAAGCCAAAACACCAAGGCUUCCUAAUUCAGCCUUGUUUAGUUCUUAAAAAUUUUAUUUUUGUUUUGGGAAUCUUUAGACACAUGCAUAGAACAUUAAAUAUAGAUAAAAAAUAAAUAAUUACAUAGUUUAUAUGUAUUUUACGAGACGAAUCUUUUGAGCCUAAUUAGUCCAUAAUUGGACACUAAUUGUCAAAUGAAAUAAAAAUGCUACAAUAACCAAAUCUAAACUUUUUUUGUGAACUAAACGAGGCCUUCCUAUUCUCUUCCAAAUUCCCAAAUUCCAAAAUCUCCUAUCAAUUGAUCAUUGAGGCAUCAAUGCACAUGCAAACAUAGAUGCCGAGUCGGCAACGACCGAUGCUAGUUGCCAAGUCGCAGACUCACUAGCUCGCUGUGGCACCACCACUACCGCGAGACGAUGCGACCAACAACAAUGAUGGAUAGCAGAUGUGAUUUUAUUCAACUGGCUCUUAUCUUAUUGCUUGUCUAAGGGCCCUUCAAAUUAUAGAGCCGGCCCUGCCAAUACCCUGCAAAGUGCAAAGUGUAACCACAGUAGAGGCCAAGCGUAGGGGUCGUUUUCAGAUAGAGGCUCCGUUUUAGUUUGCCAGUGUAUCUAAUCGGUGUCAGUCAAAAAAGCAAUCAAUUUGCUUAGGAGCCAAGCUGCAGUUGGAAAUAUAUAGCAGAACUCUGCACGCGCGCUUGUAGGAGACUAGGAGAAGUAGAGGUCAUCCCACGAGCUUGUUUAGGCCUUGUUUUGUUUGCACCAACAACCUUUUCAUCCUGUCACAUCGAAAAUAUUUAAUAUAAAAUAAAAAAGAAUUAAUUAUACAGUUUAUAUGUAUUUUGCGAGAUGAAUCAUUUUAGUCAUGAUUGGAUACUAAUUGCUAUAGUUAUAAAUGUGUUACUCAAAAAUUUUUUUUAUGAACUAAACGAAUAUGAGCAGAAACAAUGGCUCGUCGGCUUUGAACUUAUCAAAUUGGAGGGGUACCUUAACAAGUUCCCUGCAACUGGAUAAAUUUGUCCUAAGUUUCCUAAGCAAACUUCUUGUGCGUACCUAAGGGCUUGUUUGGUUACAAGCCGGGAGUCAAUUUGCCAGCAUCGACACUUGUCUAGUACCUACCUUUACGUUUUUUUGGUUACUACCAUGAAAUGUUGCCUGCAUCAGGUAAUGGUUGCCCCAUCCCCGUCGAUUUAAAAUAGGCGGCGGUGAUGAAGUUCCUCAUAUCCCCUGCCGAAGCGCGAAAACGUUCUGUGAAGAUAGGUUACGAACUAGAGGUGAUAAAAAGUUCUGUUGUACUAGUAAAUAAAAUGUAGAAACUCUGUUGUACUAGCAGUAAGAUUUGUUGUUGUAGUGACGCUGGAGGAUUGACGUGGCGUGUUAGGAAUUGAGGCAAGCUAGCAGACCUAUGGUGAGUUGAGUUCUUGCUUAAUCCUUGUUUGAACCCACUUUAGUUGCAUCGGUACACACUACUGUAUACACGGUGCAUGUCUAGCUAGCUAGUAGUUGAACGCAGGCGAUUUCCUCAUAGAACAGGAUCUUGCUCGGCAUAAAAUGUGUGGUGCGGAUGUGACGCACGAUGGGUACCAAAAUACCAAUGUACACCUUGCAUGCUAAAGCUGGGGACGGUAGCAACAUAGCAGACGAAGAUGCAUGCAUGAUACGGUCAAUGGCUUGGCCGACGACGACUCAUGGUCUCAUGCAUGUUUUGUAAGCGUCAGCCCGCACGUCACGGCCGGGGGCAGGAUCCGUUUCUGCUUCUAGAUGUGGGGCCCCUCAUCGUGCUGGGUCGCUCUGCUUACCGACGAAAUAAACCGAUCGAGAGAAAUCAAAUCAGUGAAGUCCAAUACGAAGGAAAGGCCUGUUUGGUACAUGAGAAGCUUUUUUUUUUGUCAAACAUUUAUUUUCAAAACAGUUUUAUAGGUGAAGUUGUUUCUUCUCUCCUUUCACACAGACAUGAGUUGUGAUGAAGCUGAAAAAAGUAGCUUAUUGCAGCUCCCUCACUCAUUUCUCUCUCUCAACUAUGCAUGAAGUAGUUGGUGAAGCUAUUUUACUAAACACUUUUUUCAAAACAACUCAGCUUUAUCUAGAAAGUUGCUCAUAAAACUAUUUUCUAAAAAAAAGCUUUACUAUUGAAGUUGAGUUGUGUCAAACAAAACCAAAAAAGCAAAUCAGUGGUUAGCUCAAGCUCCAGAUCACUGACGAUGCUUAACACUCUGCUUUCUCCUAGCCGGGUGCACAACUGCACAAAAGCGAGAUGAGUGUGUUUAGAAAUCAGAACCAGGUUUCGUAACGUAGAUGAGUAUAACGUCUGUUUUUUCAAGAUCUCAUCAUCAAUAAUCACUGUGUUCCAAAACGUUUACUGGUUUGAAAUGUUCAGUUUUUCUGUUAAGAAUCGUUGACGAGUUUAUUUAGCAGCACAUCUGUACGUAUCGUGCAGGCAGGCAUAUGUCGACACUUCUGUAUGUGUUCGCCGUCAACAAGAUGUGCGUCACUGCGUGCAUACGAUCGAAGAUCUUUAUACAAUAUAUAUAAUGAUGUAGUUGUGCAGCUAAGACAGUGUCGUUGAUUAGACGUACUAAGAAAAUUCUAAAGACAAAUUCUCACAGAUGAUAAUCUCAGUUGUUUACUCGGGUUGUUGGUGACCACCGUUGAGGCCUCGCUCCAUGUGUUCAGCCUAGUCGAUCUCAGCUUGACUUGUAGUUGGUCAAGCAAGGAGCCGUGCUUCUUCAAGCAAAAACAUGUAGCUUUGUAGGUGGACAUGCAUGAUGCAAGACCCUACCUAGGCCCCGGGCUAACAUAGCGCAGUUCACCAAUUAUUUGGCAUGUUGACCGGAAAAAUGUUUCUCGAGUCAUUUCUUUAAUAAGGUGGUAGUCUGCACGUUGUGCCAUUGUGGAUAGAGCGAGGGUUCAUAUGCCCACUAUGUAUAUUUUAACCUUACACCACGUUAACAAAAAAAUGUUGGUCAAAUUUUCUACCAUUGGACAUGGGUUUGAACUUAGUGACGGAUCUAGAAUGUCGAUGAUAUGGGUGUUUAAAUUUUGAAGUGAUCGAAGCGUUGAUACCUAGCUAGAAUAAAAAAAAUUAUAUGUACAUGUAGUGAGUUGGUCAAUCUCUUAUUAAGGUUGAUCGUAGAAAAAACCAAUCAAAGUAUUAGUCUUUUUUUUUCUAAGCAUCGGUUGUUCGUUAAUUCAGUGGCAAUAUGAUAACAUGUGUGUGUGAAUUUCGGAGUGAUCAAUGCAUUUAUAAAAGAGCAAAUAGGAAUAGGAUGAGCCUAAACAUGUAUGGAGAGAGAGAGAGUAGAGAAUCAGUUUGGUUAAAAUAGGUGGUGAGAUCAUUAUUAACUAAAUGUCCAUCAGCUGAUCUAUUAACUAGGUUUGUUUGAGAUCUGUAGAGCUAAUUUUAUCCAAACUACGGAGUAUGUGGUGGAUCCAAACGGGGUCAGCAUCGUUUAUGACAGCCGAACGAUCCUAAAAUUAGAAAGUUCAACGCCAUGAGCGCACCACGGCGCGCGCGCGAGCGGCAAAUUAAAAAGCGCAGAAGGGAGAAAAAGAUACUACUCCUCUAGUCUUGUUUAGAUCCGAUUUUUUUUGGAUUUUCGACACUGUAGCACUUUCGUUUUUAUUUGACAAACAUUGUCCAAUCACAUAGUAACUAGGCUUAAAAGAUUUAUCUUACGAUUUACAGACAAAUUGUACAAUUAGUUUUUAUUUUCAUCUAUAUUUGAUGCUCCAUACAUGUGUUCCAAGAUUCGAUGUGACAGAGAAUUUUAAAAAGUUUUUGAUUUUUGGAGUGAACUAAACAUAGCCUGAAUGAAACCGGUCAACCGGGGCAAUCUAGGCCUUGUUUAGUUUAAAAAAAUUUACAAAAUUAAUAUUUACAAUUUUCGUUUGUAUUUGACAAAUAUUGUUCAAUCAUUAACUAACUAGACUUAAAAGCUUUGUUUCGUAAACUACAGAUAAACUGUACAAUAGUUAUUUAUUUUAUUUAUAUUUAAUACUUCAUACAAGUACCAUAUGAUUCGAUGUGACGAGAAAUCUAAUUUUUUUUUAAAAUAUUUUGGAAACUAAACAAAGCCCUAUAAAUCUAAACACGAUCUUCGAGGUGGAUCCUGAGAGCGACCUGCCGAUCCAUCGGUCUCCCCAGAAAUGGCAUGUGCUGAGUUGAAUUCACCGCCGUCGCCGUCGUCGUCGUGGUGGUGGACUCUUCCAACCACACAUGCACGAGACAGACACCGAUGGAUGGAUCGGAAUCGCCGGCGCCUGCCCGCCUCCAUCCAUCCAUCUCCGCCUGUGCGCUGCGUUGCGUGGCCCUCCAUCUUCUCCGCGGCUUGCACCGAAGCUUCCCCACUGCAUGCAGUGCAGCACGGGUCGCCCGGCCGCCGCCUCCACAUGCUGCGCGAGAGGAGGAAAACGACCAGCGUCGCGCGCACGCACCCACGCACGCACGCACGCACGCCUCCCGCCUGCGAAGUGGACGCGACGGCCGUAUUGGGUGGGGUGGGAUGCGAUCCGGCAGCCGAAAUCCCCAUCCGGAAUUUAAGACGCCUCGCCGUGCUGCAGUGCAGUGCAGCGACGUGACAGCCCGGCCGCGGGCCGCCCCCGAAGAAGCAGCCGAGCAGGCGAGCAGCCGGGCCCGGCGCAGCACAGUGGCGCGGGCCACGUGGGCCGCUGCUGUGUGUGCCGCCACCUGUUCCGUAGGCGGGCGGAUCAACGACGCUUCUGGGAAGGUGGGUGAGGGGAGGGGAGCGGAGCAGAGCAGAGCUCCAUCCAACGGGUUACGUCCAGCCAGCCCGACACGUUGGCGAAUCCCGGGCGUUGACUCGAGGAGCACGUCGAUCCGACGGAUGGCAACGUCUGCUGGGACCGCGGGCUGGGUCACUAUAAAUGGCCGACCACCGCGGCCGUGUCCAACUCCUCUUCCGACACACACACACACACACACGACGACGACGAGCAGCGCUCACGAUCGGCUGCUCGGCUCCGACCAUCGCGCGUCUAUGGCGAUGAGUGACACGGGCUCGAGCUUCGCGCAGUGGGCCGCGCUCUACCACCACCACCACGACGCCACCGGCCCGGCCGUCCUGCCCGACGACGACGCCGCGGCGGAUGUCCUCGGCAUCGGGAUCGGCAC
Molecule: long non-coding RNA, 44372 nt
Filed under: Sorghum bicolor (sorghum)
Lineage: Eukaryota; Viridiplantae; Streptophyta; Magnoliopsida; Poales; Poaceae
Description: long non-coding RNA (SBIC_LNC018327)
Source: RNAcentral